UCGGACGUCUUCGGCGUUCGA
RNAcentral lists this small nuclear RNA (21 nucleotides) under Arabidopsis thaliana (thale cress). Its description in RNAcentral is "snRNA_09253". Lineage: Eukaryota; Viridiplantae; Streptophyta; Magnoliopsida; Brassicales; Brassicaceae. The record is from RNAcentral.